GGGGCUGAUUCUGGAUUCGACGGGAUUUGCGAAACCCAAGGUGCAUGCCGAGGGGCGGUUGGCCUCGUAAAAAGCCGCAAAAAAUAGUCGCAAACGACGAAACCUACGCUUUAGCAGCUUAAUAACCUGCUUAGAGCCCUCUCUCCCUAGCCUCCGCUCUUAGGACGGGGAUCAAGAGAGGUCAAACCCAAAAGAGAUCGCGUGGAUGCCUUGCCUGGGGUUGAAGCGUUAAAACGAAUCAGGCUAGUCUGGUAGUGGCGUGUCCGUCCGCAGGUGCCAGGCGAAUGUAAAGACAGACUAAGCAUGUAGUACCGAGGAUGUAGGAAUUUCGGACGCGGGUUCAACUCCCGCCAGCUCCACCA
RNAcentral lists this transfer-messenger RNA (362 nucleotides) under Salmonella enterica. It matches the Rfam family "transfer-messenger RNA". Rfam says of the family: Bacterial tmRNA, also known as 10Sa RNA or SsrA, is named for its dual tRNA and mRNA-like properties. The record is from RNAcentral. Lineage: Bacteria; Pseudomonadati; Pseudomonadota; Gammaproteobacteria; Enterobacterales; Enterobacteriaceae.